GACGAACGCUGGCGGCGUGCAUAACACAUGCAAGUCAAGGGGGUCAGUAGCAAUACUGGCAACCGGCGAACGGGUGCGUAACACGUAAGCGACCUACCUCGAUGUGGGGCAUAGCCGGCCUAACGGCCGGGUAAUUCCGCAUAAGACCCCGAUGAGGCAUCUCAUUGGGAUGAAACCAGUAAUGGGCGUCGAGAGGGGCUUGCGGCCUAUCAGCUAGUUGGUGAGGAACGGCUCACCAAGGCUACGACGGGUAGCUGGUCUGAGAGGAUGGCCAGCCACAUUGGGACUGAGAUACGGCCCAGACUCCUACGGGAGGCAGCAGUGGGGAAUCUUGCGCAAUGGCCUAACGGCUGACGCAGCGACGCCGCGUGAGGGAUGAAGCUUUCGGAGUGUAAACCUCUGUUGCCCGGGACGAAUAGCGGAUUAUUCCGACUUGACGGUACCGGGUGAGGAAGCACCGGCUAACUCCGUGCCAGCCGCCGCCGUAAC
This 489-nucleotide ribosomal RNA is filed under the name uncultured bacterium. Its description in RNAcentral is "bacterial SSU rRNA". It matches the Rfam family "Bacterial small subunit ribosomal RNA", at positions 28 to 524 of the family's 1533-position model. The record is from RNAcentral.